CUUCUCCAUGCUCGGAAUAACUUCCUGCAGCGACCAACAGGCUAAAGAGGGGGAAGGGAUCCAGCACCGGCUCCUCCUCCGGCAACCACGGUGGGAGCGGCGGAGGAAAUGGACAUAAACCCGGGAAUUUUAAAUCCAAGCUGGGUUUCAUCAACUGGGAUGCCAUAAACAAGAACCAGGUCCCGCCCCCCAGCACCCGAGCCCUCCUCUACUUCAGCCGACUCUGGGAGGAUUUCAAACAGAACACUCCUUUCCUCAACUGGAAAGCAAUUAUUGAGGGUGCGGACGCGUCAUCACUGCAGAAACGUGCAGGCAGAGACGAUCAGAACUACAAUUACAACCAGCAUGCGUAUCCCACUGCCUAUGGUGGGAAGUACUCAGUCAAGACCCCUGCAAAGGGGGGAGUCUCACCUUCUUCCUCGGCUUCCCGGGUGCAACCUGGCCUGCUGCAGUGGGUGAAGUUUUGGUAGGCGGAGCAAAAGUGAGGGGCACCACAGGCGAACAGGCAAUUUCUUGCAACCACCACCGAGGCCCCGAAAAGCACUGGUCGUCAGGGAGCUCCUCCCCUUGGCCCCCAGCCUGUGCCAGCCCUGGCCCGGCUGCCACACCUCUGUUUCCUAGGCUGGGGACCCAGCUUGUCUCUCCUUGUUUCUUCCCACUGCACUGUGGUGCUUCAGUGGCCACCAGCCUCGUCACAUACACCAGCAUCUUUCUGUACCUCCUCCCUUUGGUGACCUGAAGUCACUGUGACAGUUCUCCAGGAAGGAGGAGCUUCCUACUUUUGAGUUUCUCUGUGGAAAUAAAACAUGAAUCUUGUUUCCCU
This 823-nucleotide long non-coding RNA is filed under the name Homo sapiens (human). Its description in RNAcentral is "long non-coding RNA NONHSAT180361.1". The record is from RNAcentral. Lineage: Eukaryota; Metazoa; Chordata; Mammalia; Primates; Hominidae.